AUUAAGAAGUAUAUAAUUAAUUAAUUUAAAUUUUAUGGUAACCAUCUAACUUUUAAAGUUUAUAAUUUUAAUUUAAUUUUAUUAUUUUAUUGAAAAUAUUAUUAUGUUUUUGAAUUAUUGCUGCUUAAUUAGAUGUACUUUUUAUACUAGAGAGAAUGAAUAAAAGUAUGAAAGAAAAUAUAUUUGAAAAUAGUUUGAAUAUAUGAUAUAUACAAAAACAUGUUUUUAAUAAUUAAGGUGGUAGGGACGGACCGUUCCUAGAGCAAGUGGCAAAGAGCUUGGUGGUUGGUACCCGAGACCCAAAUUCGAAUCCUAAUUGAUUCACAUUUCCAGCUAAGUUUAUUUAUAAAUGAAAUAAACGAAGCGGAUAGCGUGUUACCAAUCUCUCUCUCUCAAAAAAAUAAAAAAAAGGUGGUGGGGCCAUUAUUUAUAGUGGACAUGUCCAAUAUUUCCAUAUUAUAUAUAUUUUUAAGAAAAAACUUCAAAACCCCAACAGUGCUUUCGCACUUUUUUUCAUUUUAGUAUCUGUGAUUUAAAGUGUAUCAAGUUAGUACCCUGUGGUUUCGUGCUUUCUCACUUCAGUACCCUGUGGUUUAAAGUGUAUUAAGUCAGUACUAUGUGAUUUUAUUUUUGUAUCAAGUUAGUACACUGGUUUUAUUUUUGUGUCAAGUUAGUACCCUGUGGUUUUGAAACCACAUGAUACUAAAGUGAGAAAGUGCGAAACCGCAGGGAACUAACUUGAUACACUUUAAACCACAGGAUUCUACAGUGAAAAAGUGCAAAACCACGGGGUACUAACUUGAUACACUUUAAACCACAGGGUACUAAAGUGAGAAAAAGUAAAACCACAAGGGGGGUAUUUGAAGUUUUUCUAUUUUUUAAGGAUUAUUAUAUACAGUUCGAUGUAAACAUGUCGAAUAGCAAAUAUAUCUCUUCAAAGUUUAACUUUUUAUUUUUAUCCCUACAAAAGUUCAGUGAUAUUCAUAUUUGUUACUGUGGUUUAUUAACGUUAGAGCACUAUUUAUUUUUUAACAAUAGUUAAGUGAAAUGAUAUUUUUACCAUUACAAAUAUAUCUCUUUAAAAGCUCCAGCUGUUAGAAUUAUGCAGAAACAUUCUUCCAAAAAAAAUUUUUAUCCAAUAAUAUAAAAGGAGUAAAAAGAUCAAUUUAACUCAUUCACUAAUCAGGAUUAAGUAUUUUAUUUAUGGUUAACUAUAUUUUUCUAACGGAUCCUAACAGCAGGAAUAUAUUUAAAAAUGAUGAGGCUUUUGCAUGGAUAAAAAUAAAAUAUUAAACUUUAUAGAAAUAUAACUGCUAUUCGAUAUGUUUAUAGCUAGCGUCGCAGAUAAUUAACCCUUUU
Molecule: long non-coding RNA, 1359 nt
Filed under: Ananas comosus (pineapple)
Lineage: Eukaryota; Viridiplantae; Streptophyta; Magnoliopsida; Poales; Bromeliaceae
Description: long non-coding RNA (ACOM_LNC034383)
Source: RNAcentral